GGGUUGCUAACUCAACGGUAGAGUACUCGGAUUUUAAUAGUUAUUGAGAUUUGUUGACACGAAUAUAUAAAU
RNAcentral lists this transfer RNA (72 nucleotides) under Orobanche densiflora. RNAcentral's name for it is "tRNA-Lys". The record is from RNAcentral. Lineage: Eukaryota; Viridiplantae; Streptophyta; Magnoliopsida; Lamiales; Orobanchaceae.